UGGGGAAUCUUGGACAAUGGGCGCAAGCCUGAUCCAGCCAUGCCGCGUGGAUGAUGAAGGCCUUAGGGUUGUAAAAUCCUUUCGUUGGGGACGAUAAUGACGGUACCCAAAGAAGAAGCUCCGGCUAACUUCGUGCCAGCAGCCGCGGUAAUACGAAGGGGGCUAGCGUUGUUCGGAUUUACUGGGCGUAAAGCGCGUGUAGGCGGGUCGUUAAGUUGGGGGUGAAAUCCCGAGGCUCAACCUCGGAACUGCCUUCAAAACUGGCGACCUGGACCUAAGUAGAGGCAAGUGGAAUUGCGAGUGUAGAGGUGAAAUUCGUAGAUAUUCGCAGGAACACCAGUGGCGAAGGCGACUUGCUGGACUUAUGGUGACGCUGAGACGCGAAAGCGUGGGGAGCAAACAGGAUUAGAUACCCCCGUAGUCCCUGAGCGGGCUGGCAAGGCGCAU
This 447-nucleotide ribosomal RNA is filed under the name uncultured bacterium. RNAcentral's name for it is "bacterial SSU rRNA". It matches the Rfam family "Bacterial small subunit ribosomal RNA", at positions 355 to 825 of the family's 1533-position model. The record is from RNAcentral.